Molecule: ribosomal RNA, 494 nt
Filed under: uncultured bacterium
Lineage: Bacteria
Description: partial 16S ribosomal RNA
Rfam family: Bacterial small subunit ribosomal RNA
Source: RNAcentral
GACGAACGCUGGCGGCGCGCUUAACACAUGCAAGUCGAACGGAAAGGCCUGCUUUCCCUUGUGGAUUGCGGGUACUCGAGUGGCGAACGGGUGAGUAACACGUGAGUGAUCUGCCCCCAACUUGGGUAUAAGCCUGGGAAACUGGGUCUAAUUCCCGAUAGGACUGCAGGGUGGUGCCUGUGGUGGAAAACGAUUUUCUAGUGGUUGGGGAUGAGCUCGCGGCCUAUCAGCUUGUUGGUGGGGUAAUGGCCUACCAAGGCGGCGACGGGUAGCCGGCCUGAGAGGGUGGACGGCCACAUUGGGACUGAGAUACGGCCCAGACUCCUACGGGAGGCAGCAGUGGGGAAUAUUGCACAAUGGGCGGAAGCCUGAUGCAGCGACGCCGCGGGGGGGAUGACGGCCUUCGGGUUGUAAACUCCUUUCGACCGCGAGGAAGCCACCUGGUUGGAAGGGUGGUGACGGUAGUGGUAAAAGAAGCACCGGCUAACUACGUG